GGCCUUGUAGCUCAGAAGGUCUCAGAGCGUCGUUCUAGAAAUGCGAAGGUCGCGGGUUCGAUUCCCAGCCAUGGUCA
This is a non-coding RNA of Paramuricea clavata, 77 nucleotides long. The record is from the annotation of a GenBank genome assembly. Lineage: Eukaryota; Metazoa; Cnidaria; Anthozoa; Malacalcyonacea; Plexauridae.